Molecule: long non-coding RNA, 495 nt
Filed under: Fukomys damarensis (Damara mole-rat)
Lineage: Eukaryota; Metazoa; Chordata; Mammalia; Rodentia; Bathyergidae
Description: lncRNA (ENSFDAG00000030349.1)
Source: RNAcentral
GAGGUGGUCCUGGGGACUAUCUCCUGUUCCUACACGCUUCUUCACCAGCUCUUUUCCCGCUGUCAUGAGGUAACCAGCUUUCUUCUGCCACACGCUCCCAGCUUGAUGCUUCUGCCUUCCACAAACCUAAAGUGAUGAAACUAGCCCACCAUGGACUGACGACUAUGAAACCGUGAACCACAUAAGCUGUUCUUCCUUUAAGUAGAUUAUCAUGCGUAUUUUGUCUCGGUGACAAAAAGCUGGUCAAGACACUUAAUUACAUCAAAAAGCCCGUUUCUCUGUCACAACUUUAUUUUCCUGGGUGAAAUCUCAACCAGCUGUCCAAAGAAAAUGCUAAAUGCUGUCUGGCGUGGUAGUGCACACCCGUAACCCCAGCAUUUGAGAAGCGGAGGCAGGAGGAUCAAAGUUCAAGGCCAUCCUUGGCUACAUAGUGAGUUCAAUCAAGGUCAGCCUGAACUAGAGAGUGAAACCCUGAAUUAAAAUUUAAAAGGCGCC